UUUUUGAAAGAAGAAGAACCUUACCAGGUUUUAACAUCUUAGGACAACCUUAGAGAUAGGGUUCUCCUUUGGGGGACAGAGUGACAGGUGGUGCAUGGUUGUCGUCAGCUCGUGUGGUGAGAUGUUGGGUUAAGUCCCGCAACGAGCGCACCCCUUGAUUUUAGUUGCCAGCAUUUAGUUGGGCACUCUAAGGUGACUGCCGGUGACAAACCGGAGGAAGGUGGGGAUGACGUCAAAUCAUCAUGCCCCUUAUGACCUGGGCUACACACGUGCUACAAUGGACAGAACACAGGGCUGCGAGACCGCGAGGUUUAGCCAAUCCCACAAAUCUGUUCUCAGUUCGGAUCGCAGUCUGCAACUCUACUGCGUGAAGCUGGAAUCGCUAGUAAUCUCGGAUCUGCAUGCCGCGGUGAAUACGUUCUCGGGUCUUGUACACACGCACACA
Molecule: ribosomal RNA, 445 nt
Filed under: bacterium CPTAC81
Lineage: Bacteria
Description: bacterial SSU rRNA
Rfam family: Bacterial small subunit ribosomal RNA
Source: RNAcentral